This 274-nucleotide ribosomal RNA is filed under the name uncultured bacterium. RNAcentral's name for it is "partial 16S ribosomal RNA". It matches the Rfam family "Bacterial small subunit ribosomal RNA", at positions 523 to 796 of the family's 1533-position model. The record is from RNAcentral.
AUACGGAGGGUACAAGCGUUACUCGGUAUCACUGGGCGUAUAGCGCGCGCAGGCGGCCAUUUAAGUUGGAUGUGAAAGCCUACGGCUCAACCGUAGAACUGCAUCCAAAACUAUUUGGCUAGAGUGUGGGAGAGGAAGAUGGAAUUAGUUGUGUAGGGGUAAAAUCCGUAGAGAUAACUAGGAAUACCAAAAGCGAAGGCAAUCUUCUGGAACAUUACUGACGCUGAGGCGCGAAAGCGUGGGGAGCAAACAGGAUUAGAAACCCUAGUAGUCC